CGUGUAGGCGGGAAUACAAGUCAGAUGUGAAAUACCGGAGCUUAACUCCGGGGCUGCAUCUGAAACUGUAUUUCUUGAGUGCUGGAGAGGAAAGCGGAAUUCCUAGUGUAGCGGUGAAAUGCGUAGAUAUUAGGAGGAACACCAGUGGCGAAGGCGGCUUUCCGGACAGUAACUGACGCUGAGGCGCGAAAGCGUGGGGAGCAAACAGGAUUAGAUACCCUGGUAGUCCACGCUGUAAACGAUGGAUACUAGGUGUAGGAGGUAUCGACCCCUUCUGUGCCGCAGUUAACACAAUAAGUAUCCCACCUGGGGAGUACGGCCGCAAGGUUGAA
RNAcentral lists this ribosomal RNA (332 nucleotides) under uncultured bacterium. Its description in RNAcentral is "bacterial SSU rRNA". It matches the Rfam family "Bacterial small subunit ribosomal RNA", at positions 568 to 898 of the family's 1533-position model. The record is from RNAcentral.